GACGAACGCUGGCGGCGUGCUUAACACAUGCAAGUCGAACGGAAAGGCCCUGCUUUUGUGGGUUGCUCGAGUGGCGAACGGGUGAGUAACACGUGAGUAACCUGCCCUUGACUUUGGGAUAACUUCAGGAAACUGGGGCUAAUACCGGAUAGGAGCUCCUGCUGCAUGGUGGGGGUUGGAAAGUUUCGGCGGUUGGGGAUGGACUCGCGGCUUAUCAGCUUGUUGGUCGGGUAGUGGCUUACCAAGGCUUUGACGGGUAGCCCGCCUGAGAGGGUGACCGGCCUCCUUGGGACUGAGAUACGGCGCAGACGGCUACGUGAGGCAGCAGUGGGGAAUAUUGCACAGUGGGCGGAAGCCAGAUACAGCAACGUCGCGUGCGGAAUGACGGGUUUCGGGUGGUAAACCGCUUUCGCCUGUGACGAGGCGUGAGUGACGGUAAUGGGUAAGGAAGCACCGGCUAACUACGUG
This 468-nucleotide ribosomal RNA is filed under the name uncultured bacterium. RNAcentral describes it as "partial 16S ribosomal RNA". It matches the Rfam family "Bacterial small subunit ribosomal RNA", at positions 28 to 507 of the family's 1533-position model. The record is from RNAcentral.